RNAcentral lists this ribosomal RNA (943 nucleotides) under Bacillus altitudinis. Its description in RNAcentral is "bacterial SSU rRNA". It matches the Rfam family "Bacterial small subunit ribosomal RNA", at positions 191 to 1119 of the family's 1533-position model. Lineage: Bacteria; Bacillati; Bacillota; Bacilli; Caryophanales; Bacillaceae. The record is from RNAcentral.
GGUUCAAGGAUGAAAGACGGUUUCGGCUGUCACUUACAGAUGGACCCGCGGCGCAUUAGCUAGUUGGUGAGGUAACGGCUCACCAAGGCGACGAUGCGUAGCCGACCUGAGAGGGUGAUCGGCCACACUGGGACUGAGACACGGCCCAGACUCCUACGGGAGGCAGCAGUAGGGAAUCUUCCGCAAUGGACGAAAGUCUGACGGAGCAACGCCGCGUGAGUGAUGAAGGUUUUCGGAUCGUAAAGCUCUGUUGUUAGGGAAGAACAAGUGCAAGAGUAACUGCUUGCACCUUGACGGUACCUAACCAGAAAGCCACGGCUAACUACGUGCCAGCAGCCGCGGUAAUACGUAGGUGGCAAGCGUUGUCCGGAAUUAUUGGGCGUAAAGGGCUCGCAGGCGGUUUCUUAAGUCUGAUGUGAAAGCCCCCGGCUCAACCGGGGAGGGUCAUUGGAAACUGGGAAACUUGAGUGCAGAAGAGGAGAGUGGAAUUCCACGUGUAGCGGUGAAAUGCGUAGAGAUGUGGAGGAACACCAGUGGCGAAGGCGACUCUCUGGUCUGUAACUGACGCUGAGGAGCGAAAGCGUGGGGAGCGAACAGGAUUAGAUACCCUGGUAGUCCACGCCGUAAACGAUGAGUGCUAAGUGUUAGGGGGGUUUCCGCCCCUUAGUGCUGCAGCUAACGCAUUAAGCACUCCGCCUGGGGAGUACGGUCGCAAGACUGAAACUCAAAGGAAUUGACGGGGGCCCGCACAAGCGGUGGAGCAUGUGGUUUAAUUCGAAGCAACGCGAAGAACCUUACCAGGUCUUGACAUCCUCUGACAACCCUAGAGAUAGGGCUUUCCCUUCGGGGACAGAGUGACAGGUGGUGCAUGGUUGUCGUCAGCUCGUGUCGUGAGAUGUUGGGUUAAGUCCCGCAACGAGCGCAACCCUUGAUCUUAGUUGCC